RNAcentral lists this ribosomal RNA (424 nucleotides) under uncultured bacterium. RNAcentral's name for it is "bacterial SSU rRNA". It matches the Rfam family "Bacterial small subunit ribosomal RNA", at positions 29 to 496 of the family's 1533-position model. The record is from RNAcentral.
AACGAACGCUGGCGGCAGGCCUAACACAUGCAAGUCGAACGCCGUAGCAAUACGGAGUGGCAGACGGGUGAGUAACACGUGGGAACAUACCCUUCGGUUCGGAAUAACUCAGGGAAACUUGAGCUAAUACCGGAUACGUCCGCGAGGAGAAAGAUUCAUCGCCGGAGGAUUGGCCCGCGUCUGAUUAGCUUGUUGGUGAGGUAACGGCUCACCAAGGCGACGAUCAGUAGCNGGUCUGAGAGGAUGAUCAGCCACAUUGGGACUGAGACACGGCCCAAACUCCUACGAGAGGCAGCAGUGGGGAAUAUUGGACAAUGGGCGCAAGCCUGAUCCAGCCAUGCCGCGUGAGUGAUGAAGGCCCUAGGGUUGUAAAGCUCUUUUACCCGGGUAAGGAUAAUGACUGUACCGGGAGAAUAAGCACCGG